CUAUUCCUCUUCCUCUCUUCUUCCUCUCCUCUUCCUCUCUUCUUCCUCUCUUUUUCCUCUUCCUCUCCUCUUCCUCUUCCUCUCUUCUUCCUCUCCUCUUCCUCUCUUCUUCCUCUCUUUUUCCUCUUCCUCUUCCUCUCCUCUUCCUCUCUUCUUCUUCUUCCUCUUCCUCUUCCUCUUCCUUUCCUCUUUCUCUUCUCUUCCUUUGCUCUCCUCUUCCUCUUCCUCUCCCAUCCUCUUCCUCUCUUCUUCCUCUUCCUUCCCUCUUUCUCUUCCUCUCCUCUUCCUCUCUUCUUCCUCUCAUCUUCCUCUCCUCUUCCUCUUCCUCUUCCUCUCCCAUCCUCUUCCUCUCUUCUUCUUCUUCUUCUUCUUCUUCUUCUUCUUCCUUUCCUCUUUCUCUUCCUCUCCUCUUCCUCUCUUCUUCCUCUCCUCUUUCUCUUCCUUUUCCUUUCCUCUUCCUCUCUUCUUCCUCUCCUCUUCCUCUUCCGCUUCAUCUCCUCUUCCUCUCAUCUUCCUCUCGUCUUCCUCUUGUCUUCCUCUCACCUUCUUCUCCUCUUCUUCUCCUCUUCCUCUCGUCUUCCUCUCUUCUUCCUUUCCUCUUCCUCUCGUCUUCCUCUCUUCUUCCUCUCUUUUUCCUCUCUUCUUUCUCUCCUCUUCCUCUCCUCUUCCUCUCUUCUUCCUUUCCUCUUCUCUUCCUUUCCUCCUCCUCUCCUCUUCCUCCCCCAUCAUCUUCCUCUCUUGUUCCUCUUACUUUCCUCUUUUUCUUCCUCUCCUCUUUCUCUUCCUCUUCCUCUCCUCUUUCUAUUCCUCUUCCUCUCCUCUUCCGCAUGCUCUCCUCUUCCUCCUCCUCUCCUCUUCCUCUUCCUGUCCUCUUCCUCUCUUUUCCCUUUCUUCUUUCUCUCCUCUUCCUGUCCUCUUCCUCUCUUCUUCCUCUCCUCUUCCUCUCUUUUUCCUCUCUUCUUUCUCUCCUCUUCCUCUCCUCUUCCUCUCUUCUUCCUUUCCUCUUCUCUUCCUUUCCUCCUCCUCUCCUCUUCCUCCCCAUCAUCUUCCUCUCUUGUUCCUCUUCCUUUCCUCUUUCUCUUCUCUUCCUUUGCUCUCCUCUUCCUCUUCCUCUCCCAUCCUCUUCCUCUCUUCUUCCUCUUCCUUCCCUCUUUCUCUUCCUCUCCUCUUCCUCUCUUCUUCCUCUCAUCUUCCUCUCCUCUUCCUCUUCCUCUCCCAUCCUCUUCCUCUCUUCUUCUUCUUCUUCUUCUUCUCUUCUUCCUUUCCUCUUUCUCUUCCUCUCCUCUUCCUCUCUUCUUCCUCUCCUCUUUCUCUUCCUUUUCCUUUCCUCUUCCUCUCUUCUUCCUCUCCUCUUCCUCUUCCGCUUCAUCUCCUCUUCCUCUCAUCUUCCUCUCGUCUUCCUCUUGUCUUCCUCUCACCUUCUUCUCCUCUUCCUCUCCUCUUCCUCUCGUCUUCCUCUCUUCUUCCUUUCCUCUUCCUCUCGUCUUCCUCUCUUCUUCCUCUCUUUUUCCUCUCUUCUUUCUCUCCUCUUCCUCUCCUCUUCCUCUCUUCUUCCUUUCCUCCUCCUCUCCUCUUCCUCCCCCAUCAUCUUCCUCUCUUGUUCCUCUUACUUUCCUCUUUUUCUUCCUCUCCUCUUUCUCUUCCUCUUCCUCUCCUCUUUCUAUUCCUCUUCCUCUCCUCUUCCGCAUGCUCUCCUCUUCCUCCUCCUCUCCUCUUCCUCUUCCUGUCCUCUUCCUCUCUUUUCCCUUUCUUCUUUCUCUCCUCUUCCUGUCCUCUUCCUCUCUUCUUCCUCUCCUCUUCCUCUCUUUUUCCUCUCUUCUUUCUCUCCUCUUCCUCUCCUCUUCCUCUCUUUCCCUCUCUUCUUUCUCUCCUCUUCCUUUCUUCUUCCUCUCAUUUUCCUCUUCUUCUUCUUCCUCUCCUCUUCCUCUUCCUCUCCUCUUCCUCUCUACUUCCUGUCAGCUACCUGAUGUUGUGGGCAGUGACUUCAUGCCUCCUGCGGUGGAGGAAUUGAGCUACGCCUCGGUCCAGUUCAGACAGAAGAACCAGGCCCGAGCGGAGGAGCAGGAGGAGGAGGAGGCCACCGUCUACAGCUCAGUGGCCGUUAGAGGCUGAGUCCAUCAUAUCCAAUAAACAGCAUUAUAUACAGGAGUACCACCUCCUCAUAUACAGGAGUACCACCUCCUCAUAUACAGGAGUACCACCUCCUCAUAUACAGGAGUACCACCUCCUCAUAUACAGGAGUACCACCUCCUCAUAUACAGGAGUAAAAGCAGUAUAUAUGGUUAAUUAAUUUAUAUUGAAAUAUAGAUAUAUAUUUUAUGUAUGCAAGCGACAGAAAGCUUUCUGAUUGGACGAUUCCCACAGCAAUGCUCUGUGGGACUUGUAGAUUAUUCCAUGUAUAAUAUUACAGAAUUUUGUAAAAAGGAAGACAUAUUUGAUCAGAGUUUAAGCAGCGAGACUGCGCUGAAGUUUUCUGCUUUCACUUAUUAUGGAUUCAUUGACUUUUUGUAUUUUCCACCUCUCAGUUUUCACUUUUGCAUUUAAUCUGCUUUAAUGUGUUAUUUGUCUUUUAUGUAAAUAAAGAUUUUGAACAUUUUAAA
RNA transcript from Eleginops maclovinus (Patagonian blennie), 2600 nucleotides. It is a transcript of the gene named B-cell receptor CD22-like, with no coding region annotated. The record is from RefSeq and is a predicted model, not a curated record. The transcript has 2 exons. NCBI's taxonomy places the organism in Eukaryota, Metazoa, Chordata, Actinopteri, Perciformes, Eleginopidae.